UACGAAGGGGGCUAGCGUUGCUCGGAAUCACUGGGCGUAAAGCGCACGUAGGCGGCUUUUUAAGUCAGGGGUGAAAUCCUGGAGCUCAACUCCAGAACUGCCUUUGAUACUGGAAAGCUUGAGUCCGGAAGAGGUGAGUGGAACUCCGAGUGUAGAGGUGAAAUUCGUAGAUAUUCGGAAGAACACCAGUGGCGAAGGCGGCUCACUGGUCCGGUACUGACGCUGAGGUGCGAAAGCGUGGGGAGCAAACAGG
RNAcentral lists this ribosomal RNA (253 nucleotides) under uncultured bacterium. RNAcentral describes it as "partial 16S ribosomal RNA". It matches the Rfam family "Bacterial small subunit ribosomal RNA", at positions 524 to 776 of the family's 1533-position model. The record is from RNAcentral.